RNAcentral lists this ribosomal RNA (198 nucleotides) under uncultured bacterium. RNAcentral's name for it is "partial 16S ribosomal RNA". It matches the Rfam family "Bacterial small subunit ribosomal RNA", at positions 328 to 539 of the family's 1533-position model. The record is from RNAcentral.
ACGCUCGACACCUACGGGNGGCAGCAGUGGGGAAUAUUGCACAAUGGGGGAAACCCUGAUGCAGCGACGCCGCGUGGAGGAAGAAGGUCUUCGGAUUGUAAACUCCUGUUGUUGGGGAAAAAGAGGAUGGUACCCAACAAGGAAGUGACGGCUAACUACGUGCUAGCAGCCGCGGUAAUCUGAGCGGGCUGGCAAGGC